This is a non-coding RNA of Camelina sativa (false flax), 145 nucleotides long. NCBI's taxonomy places the organism in Eukaryota, Viridiplantae, Streptophyta, Magnoliopsida, Brassicales, Brassicaceae. The record is from RefSeq and is a predicted model, not a curated record.
AGAGCAGCUUGAUAUUAAGUGGACCUCUCCAGAUGAAGAGGGUAUAGUUCAGUUUUUGGUGAAUGAAAAUGGAUUCAACAUUGAUAGGGUAACAAAGGCCAUAGAGAAAAUUAAAACUGCGAAGAACAAAUCAUCCCAGGGCAGG